RNAcentral lists this long non-coding RNA (1586 nucleotides) under Heterocephalus glaber (naked mole-rat). RNAcentral's name for it is "lncRNA (ENSHGLG00100050218.1)". The record is from RNAcentral. Lineage: Eukaryota; Metazoa; Chordata; Mammalia; Rodentia; Bathyergidae.
GACUCUGAGCCAGCUGCCUCUCUAAGCUUGGAGCUUGGGAGUGCCGUCUGGCCAGACUCAUAAAGGUCUGUUCUACUUUCCAACUUGUCCGGUGUGUUCCUUCCCGGGUGUUCUUCGCUGCAGUCAGCUCCUCGGAGCGUUUGAUACUGCUGAGAUUCAUCGGUAGAGCUGAGUGCUUAUGAUUUUCAGAUCAUGCUCAGUGAUUCCACAAAGCAGUAAGUGAAGAGAAGAGCAUGAAGUACUGAACUCCUGAGCCCUGCUCCUUCCCACAAAUGCUGCUUGUGUUCACCUCCUCCUUCAUCUGCAAAAUUGGCCGAUACUGUCCUUUAGAGGAAAUCAUUCCCAGGUUAGGAUCUGAUUCUGAAUAAUGCCUUGCAUUUAUUGGGCUGCUUAGUCUGUUUAGUUUGGGGCGGUCCUUGCCUUUGUUUGCAUGAUACUGACGUUUGUGAGGAGACCGUUGUGCUAUUGGCAGUUCCUCACUUAGGGUCUGAUAGUUUCCUCAUGACUCAGGAAAUGUAUUUAUUGGCAAGAACACUGAAUACAUGAUAUGUCCCCAGGUGUCAGAUCAGGAGGUAAAUAAUGUCAGUUUGUCCUAUUAUUGCUAAUGUUGGCUCUGAUCUCUUGGCUAAGGUAGUAUCUACCAGAUUUUUCCACUCACAAGGUAUCUUUUUCCCUUUAUGACUUGUGGAGUCUUCUAUCAAUGUUGUUUGAUAAUUGUUUCUUUUGAUAUGUGUAAUACACACCUUACCAGUAGAAGGCAAAUUCCUUCAUUGUUUUUGCCUGUCAAAAUGUCAACUCCAACAGGAUGCAUGCCACUUUCCAGAGAGGGGUGAUAGCACCUCCACUAUUUUGCAUGGUCAUCUGUUGGCACCAGGAAGCUGUUUUUGCACAGGGCCGCACACUCCAUAGGCUGAAUGCAGGCAGCCCCAGCAACUCCAGUAGUGAAAUCCAUUUUCUCCAUUGCAGUAGUCUGGACAGAUGACUGCUUUUCUGAACCAGCUCUCAGCAAAAAAGGGGCAUUUUUCACCUGGGCACUCACUACACCCCCUACAGCUAUGGCAGAGGAGGUAGCAUCCCCAGGUGUUUUUGCUUAUACUCUUUUUAAUGUCUAAAUAAAAAGAAUAGAAAGAAGCCUUUGUUUUAAUGCACAUGAAUAUGUACAUAUACUUUUUUGUUAUCUUAGAAUUUUAUAUUUGGAAUUGAUAAUUGAAUGAGAAUGUUGCAUAGGUCCACCAAUAAAAUAUAAUCUGUUUAUUGGCUAUCUUAGCUACUUUUCUUGUUCCUGAGACACAAUACCUGAUACCCACAACUCUAAAGAGGAGAGGUUUAUUUUGGCUCACAGUUUGUAGAGGUUUCAGUCCAUAGUCACCUGGCUUCAAGGCAGGGUGGCAUGGCAGAGGAUAUGGCAGAGAAGAAACAGUCCAUGGCAGGCAGGAUACAGCGAGGAAUCAAGGGAGGAGGAGGGAGACAGACCCCUCCAGGUCAUCCCCACAGUGACCACCUCCUCUCACCAGGUUGUAUCUCCCAACAUCACAUUUAGCUACAAACCCAUCAGUGGACUAAUCCAGUGAUGAGUAUCACACCCC